GGGGGCAUAGAGCAGUCGACCCUUCUGAGGAGGGGCUGCCCAGGAACCCUGGGUCAGAAUAAACAAACAGCAGAUGGGCAAGAAUUGGUGAGGAUGAGGCUCUUCCAUUCACUCCUGAAGUUCUGUUACUCUCCUCUAAUAUGACACAGCUGGAGUCACAUGGAUGGGUGGAAAUCAGAGGACAGCUGGACGACUUCUUUGUUUGUGGGGAUCAAAGUCAGAGCCAUAAACGUGAUCGCCAAAUGCUCUGCUGCCGAGCUACAUCUCCAGCUCCACAUGGCCCAAAGGUCAGCAUGUAACUGGAGGUGCUCCAUGGAAGCUUGCUAAAUGAACGAGGAGGCUGAGGGAAUUAUCUUCAGAGCUGGGGUGCAGAGUUGGGGCUGCAUUUUGGUCUCCAUGCAUACACACCUGGUGACCUUGAAGAUCCUGAGGAGACGCACACAUCGGAGCACUGAGAUGCCGAGGGGCUGCAUGGCCCCCACCUCCACCAACGUCGUUUCUAGGAUGCCCCCACAGACCACGAAACAGUCAAAGCGGUUGAAAAAAGAGGCAACGUAGACAGAGGGGCCCAGGCCGUACAGUUUGAGAAGCAUCUCCACGGUGAAGAGGCAGAGCAGAACCUUGUUGGCAUAUUCUGUUGGGGUGUGGCGCGGCAUAUGUUUAGGAAGCCAUGAACUCUGGUGGGAUCUUGGCGUUAGCUGGGAGCUGGUCAGGUGUGAGCUAGGCUUUGACUGGGGUUAGGGACUAAAGUGAGUUUGUAGGUCAAAACAAGCGAGAUCUGGAGCUGGGGCACAGGGUAGAGUUGAGGUGGGGGCCACAGUCCCCCUUUGUGAAUCCAAGACAAAUCUCUACUCAAUGGUACAGUUAGCAUCUAGGAUUUAUUCUUUUUAAUUUUUUUAAUGUUUAUGCCUUAUGUUUUUGGUUGUGGGGAUGGAAUCCAGGGCCUCACACAUGAACUCUUCCACUGAAAUACAGCUCCAGUUCCAAGCCUAUGGUUUCUUUGGGACUGAACUGGUUUGGAGUGGAGUUAGAGGCAGGACCAAUAAUAAAGAUUUACGUUUAUAAGGGUUUAAGAUUGUAAGGAAUCAUAACAGUUGAUCCUUGAGGUAGGCCAAACAAUAUUUAAGCAUUUUACAGCCGAGCUCAUUUAAUCCUCCCAACCACUCCAUGCCACGGUUAGUCACCAUUGCCUCCAUUUUGCACAUGGGGAAACUGAGGCACGGAGGGGUUAACUUGUCCAGAGACCACGAUGUUAAGAGCCUGGAUUCUACUUCCUGCUCUGACCCUCAGGAGCUGAAUCCUGCAGUUAGUUGCUUGACAUCAAUGCCAUGGUGAUCUGUACCCUCGACCUGAGCACCGAGGUACUAACUUUUUAGUGGAACCAAGUUUGAGUUUGGACAUGUGCGAUACUGAGACUAGAGCUUGAUACACAUAGCAGGUAGCACAUAAGUGUGGUUUGCACAGCGGUAUAGGACAAGUUAAGGUUUCUGUACUCCUCUGCAUUGGAAGGUGCUAUCUGGGAUCAAAGACUCCCUGGACAGCCUGCCUUUGAACUUCUAGGGUGAAGGGAGCAAGGGAUGAAGAGGAGAGCUGACAGGCAGAGACUCACCUUGGGUCUGGGUGAGCCACACUGGCUGCCCAUGGUGCUCAGAAGCGAUGGUCAACGUGUUGAGGAAGACGAGCAGCAAUACAGCCCAGUAGCAGGCAUUGGACUUGACUGCCCGGCGGCAGCGUGCACGGAGACCACGGUUGGCUCGGCGGAAGUGGCGGCUGGGCAGAGGAGAGCCCAUGGCAUCAUUGAGAUUGGCCUAUAUCAGCCCGGUGUGCUGGUUGGGGGUCCCAGGAGUCACAUGGGUCAUGGAGGUGGACUGGUCUCAAAUUCAUGGGGCCAAAAGGUUGCACAACUUUUCACAACUUACCAGACCUUGGUUUUCAUAAUCUUGUUUCUAGAAAUGAUUGAAAAGGGGCGGGGAGGGUGUCAUAAGCUGAGAGGGAAUCAGCAGCUAUGACUGGAGGUCAGGUGUUUGAAGCUGAAGUAAGAAUGGUGUCUGGGCUACGUAGGGAUCAAGGGCUGGGAUUCCUCACAGGCAGAGUGUACAGCUGGCCAUGGUCCCCUCCUCUUCAUCCUCAUCUCCGGGGGUGUCUGUUAUGGAACCAGUGUCACUGGCUGGAAGGCUGGCUUCAGGCAAAGUGAGGAUAGAGGUCAGGACCCAAAGACUUUAGGUGCUACUUUUGGUUUUCCCUGUCUACUUACCCCAGCUCUGCCCCACCCCUAGCUUAAUCCUCACCAUGACUGCUGGUGGAGUGUGUGGAGCGAGUGGAGUGGCUGAACCAACGCAGUCGUCCGCGCCUCCUAUUGGUCAGCUCUGACAGUUGUGGUCCUGUGGAGGGGGGGGGGGAUAGUUCCAACUGAGAAGGACGGCCUGGGGGCAGAAUUAGGGUCAAGUCUAAGGGAUAAGGAGCUAGUUGGAGCCUUUGUAUCUAAGUCUGGGUUGAGAGUCUGUGUCCUGAGCCAGAGUUGAGGCAAAGCCUCGGAUGGCUGCAGGCUUGGUCUGGGUCUCAGGAGGGCAAUCACAUCUGGGGUAGGAGUGAAGCUGGGCCAGAAUUGAGUUGCCUACGAUGGCCUGCCCGUCCCUCUUCAGCAAGAGAAGCCAAGUUGCCGUCUACUGAGGGGUCAUGAAGGUCCAACUCCUCAGCCUGUGUGAUCCAGUCCAGGUAGCCCCGAAGGUCCUCUUCCAUCUGCUGCUUCUCCCGAAGCUUCUGAAAGUCACCUCGGGCUUUUGCCUUUUCUCUUUCCUUGGAGAACUCCCUGGAGGAAGAGGGGAGCAGACUAUAUAAGGAAGUCAUCACCAGUAACCUUGCCUUUACUAGCCCAGCCACAAUAGCCGUCUAAUUGUUCUUUGGAGAAGCCAAGGACAUACCAGCUCCCAAGCCUUUGCGCCAGCUGUUCCUGUGACUUAGAAUACCAUCAACACUCUCUCAAGAGGUCCUUCCUGAUUUUUAAAAGAAUUACAUCCAUCUAUCUAU
This is a long non-coding RNA of Rattus norvegicus (Norway rat), 3027 nucleotides long. RefSeq lists it as uncharacterized. Lineage: Eukaryota; Metazoa; Chordata; Mammalia; Rodentia; Muridae. The record is from RefSeq and is a predicted model, not a curated record.